RNAcentral lists this long non-coding RNA (771 nucleotides) under Ananas comosus (pineapple). RNAcentral's name for it is "long non-coding RNA (ACOM_LNC019560)". Lineage: Eukaryota; Viridiplantae; Streptophyta; Magnoliopsida; Poales; Bromeliaceae. The record is from RNAcentral.
UAAAUUUUGGGGUCUAUAUUCCUGCUAUAAUUUGUGUUUUUUAUGCAUUUUGAGAGAGAUAGGUAGCAUGCUAUCUGUUUCAUUUACUUCAUUUUAGAAAUAAACUUAGCUAGAAAUGUGAAUCAAUUAGGAUUCGAAAUUGGAACUUUAAGUAUCAACCACCAACUUCUUUGCCACUUGUGUUAGGAACGGUCGGUGAGUGUUUUUUAUGCUAAAAUCUAUUCUUGCAAGUAAAAUAGAAUAAAUUAAGUUAUUACAUUGUAGUAUUUAAAUGCUCAAAUUUAAUAUUUUGACACCAAAAAGUCUAUUUUAAGGCGAGAAAAGACCUGUUACUGGCCUGCGCACUGUCUUUUUUUUAAAAAAAUUAUUUUCUUAGUUCUAGUCAGGUUUAAAUAUUGGAAAAUUUUCAAAUAUCUUUCUUUCUCAUUUUAGUAUCCUGUGGUUUAAAAUGUAUCACUUCCGUACCCUAUAAUUUUAUUUUUUUCUUUUUCUUAUCACUUUCACUAAUUUUUUUAUUAAAUCAGAGACAAAGUUAAAACUAAAAGAUACUAAAAUAAAUAUUCAAUAAACUAUAGGUGGGGUAUUUAAAGUUUUUUGUAUAUGAUUUAACGAAAAGUUAACGAAUGGGUUGAUGAAAAGAAAAAUAAUAAAAUCACAAGAUACUAAAUUGAUACAUUUUAAACUAUAAAUUACUAAAAUGAGAAAAUGCAAAACUACGAAAGUGAUAUUUGAAGUUUACCCUUAUAUUCAGGACGUGCAAACAGCAAAAAA